Molecule: non-coding RNA, 479 nt
Organism: Lepisosteus oculatus (spotted gar)
Lineage: Eukaryota; Metazoa; Chordata; Actinopteri; Semionotiformes; Lepisosteidae
Source: RefSeq, a predicted model, not a curated record
AAGUAGUGAAGUGACUUUCAUCAAGCUUGAGGAAGUCACCAGCACCACAAUAAGAGUGAGCUGGAGUGGAAUUAAUCUCAUUGCCCAGAUGUCAUACAAAGUGAAGCUGAAAUCAGAAAAUGGCCACAAUAUCAUUGAAAGAAACGUGACUAUAACCAGGACAGAAUUUACAAAUCUGGAUCCUGGAGUGAAGUACACUGUACUCAUAGAAAUGACUCCAUGCCAUGGGAAGAAAGUGCUUUCAAAAAUAAUUACGACUGCUGCAAACGUUUACACUGCAGUGACCCGGAUUACAACUGUUGAGUUUGUGUCUGCAUAUGGGAACACUACUAGUCCACAAUAUAUAGAAUUUGCUGCAAACUUCACACGAGAGAUUGAAAAGAAUCUUCCAGCAAACUUCCAGAGUCUCAUUGAGUCAAAGCAAAUGAUGGUGGUGAUAAAGAGCAUUCGCCAAGGGAGUGUGAUUGUUGAUUUCGACA